This 460-nucleotide ribosomal RNA is filed under the name uncultured bacterium. Its description in RNAcentral is "partial 16S ribosomal RNA". It matches the Rfam family "Bacterial small subunit ribosomal RNA", at positions 338 to 795 of the family's 1533-position model. The record is from RNAcentral.
CCUACGGGAGGCAGCAGUGAGGAAUAUUGGUCAAUGGGCUUACGCCUGAACCAGCCAAGUCGCGUGAGGGAAGACUGCCCUAUGGGUUGUAAACCUCUUUUGUCAGGGAGCAAUUGGCGCUACGUGUAGCGUUAUCGAGAGUACCUGAAGAAAAAGCAUCGGCUAACUCCGUGCCAGCAGCCGCGGUAAUACGGAGGAUGCGAGCGUUAUCCGGAUUUAUUGGGUUUAAGGGGUGCGUAGGCGGAAUGCCAAGUCAGCGGUAAAAUCGCGGGGCUCAACCUCGCUCAGCCGUUGAAACUGGCGGUCUUGAGUGGGCGAGAAGUACGCGGAAUGCGUGGUGUAGCGGUGAAAUGCAUAGAUAUCACGCAGAACUCCGAUUGCGAAGGCAGCAUACCGGCGCCAAACUGACGCUGAAGCACGAAAGCGUGGGUAUCGAACAGGAUUAGAUACCCUUGUAGUC